Molecule: transfer RNA, 149 nt
Organism: Naematelia encephala
Lineage: Eukaryota; Fungi; Basidiomycota; Tremellomycetes; Tremellales; Naemateliaceae
Rfam family: tRNA
About the family: Transfer RNA (tRNA) molecules are approximately 80 nucleotides in length. Their secondary structure includes four short double-helical elements and three loops (D, anti-codon, and T loops).
Source: Rfam
GAGUGAGUGGCGCAGAGGUUUAGCGCGCCGGUCUUACACAUUCCCCCUUUACUCUCUGUCCGCCCAACGGGGGGUCCAAGCAGGAUGUAUGGGGACAGGGCAGGGAUGAAUGAUCGCCGGAAGCCUGGGUUCGAACCCCAGCUCACUCU